UGCAAUCACUUCUUAUAUGCAUUGUUUGACGAAGUGACAAGUACAAAACGGGACGUAUAUAUAUAGUCUCAAUGGUUGCACUGCAUGCAUGUUGUUUUAAUGGUUGUUAUUAUAUUUGGAUAUCUUCCAGGCCAAAUUAUGUUUAAUAUAUGUAUCCUAUCGGUAUGAUAUUAUACAUGAUUUAUUUGACUGCCUUUUAGAUAAUGAAGUUUAAUAUGGUGGUUGUUUAUUAUAUUGGUCCAAGUGGGAGAGAUAUUUGAAUUUUUGUAUGGACUAAUAUAAUCACAAACAUAAUUCCAUAUUCACAACCAUGUUAGGUGUUUAAAGAGACAAUAUGAGUUAAGUUUUUUGCUAUGACACUCAAAAGGAUUUAGAUUUGAUGGGUUGUAUCGUUUCAUUCCAAAUAGCCUUAUAUAGGUUGAGACUGAAUAAUGAUUUAAUUUGCAGACCUUGUUUUUGGGCAAUCGCAAUCUCAAAGUUUAAUUGUGAAAGAGAAAAUGAUUAUCUCAAUGGUUUUUUUUUUUAUAGUACUAUGGUUCAUAUAUUUGUCUCUUCUAUCCACUAUUGAUGAUGAGUAAAUAAAGCUGUCCAUGUUGGAUUUUCAAGUUGGGGUUAGUCAAGGGUCAAAAGAUUAUUUAGGGAAUAACUAGACUUAUCCCUUGUUUUGCUUCCGCUGUUCUUCUUGCCGACCCUACAAUCAGCCAGAAUAUGAUAAGAAACUCCAUAUGUGAACAAGCAAAGAUAUAGGAUCGAAAUAGUUUUACAGACCUACAAUUACAAGUAGGAAAUAAGGUUAACGACAUAUACCUCAAAAUUGUUAAUCGAUAGCCAUUAGUAGUUCUUAAUCCUUAUUUGGAGAGCUGAUAUGUUAAUAUCAUGAUUUCCAAGAUAUAAUCAAACAUGGAAGUUUAGGCUUAAUCACAUGAUAACUGAGAGAUUUUUCUUGAUGACAGGUCUUGUUGAGAACAGACUAUUUGAGGAACAAAUUAAGGUUGAUUAAAGCCUAUAGCUAGUUACCAUUAUGAUGGAAUGAACUGUUCAAAAUACAUUAUUAUUGGAUGAUAAAGUGCUGACUAUUUGGAAAUCAAUAUAGAAGGAUGUGAGAACUAAAUUCUUAUUUUAGAAUUUCAUUUGGCUCAAUCAAGCCUUGAGAAGGCAACUGACAAGGACACCCGAAUUCAAUGGAUUAAAUUCAUUUUGGAAAGGCAUCAAGACAAUGACUAUUAUUAUUCUCAGAAUGGACAAUUCGAAACAUUAUCGUUAGUCAAUAUUAUGUGAGAGAUCAAUGGGAACAAUGAUAUGUUUAUAUUAUUACAUGGUUAGUACAUUGCUCAUAAUUUAUGAUGUUGAUCUAAUCUGGAGACAAGUAAAACUGUUAUUUGAUAGUCUCUGUUGGAUGAAGAAUUUUAGAGAAGCCUUGCAUGGUCUAAGUAUUUAGAUUCUUCAUGUUGAGAUCAACGGAAAGAUGAAUUAUCUCAUAGAUUAUGUUGACUGACUUUUGAUGUGAGUAAUGUUUCAAUUUCAUUGAGAACUUUGGAAUAGUCUAAAGUGUGAUGUAUUGUGAAAGGCCUAAAGUCCACGUGUAUUGAUAAUGAUGAGAGAUCAAUUUUGAGAUUGUUCCAUACAUGCUUGUUGAAGGCAGCCUCGAGUGUUCUCAUGUAUAUGCAUUCCCUAUUGUGAUAUUUGUCAUGGGCAUGUUGGAUUGGUACUUGAGUAGUCAUCCUUAUGGUAUCAAGGAUGUCUUUGCAAUCGACAAAUCAACAUUAUGACGCUUAAUAGUUGGUUUUAGUGAUAUCGAUUGAACAGAGUGCAUGGAUGUCAAAAUCCUCUAUAAUGGUAGGAGGAGCUAUUUUAUGAUUAAGUGUCUAAUCAAAUAAACACCUACAAUUUCCUCUCCCAUACAUGUAGGUAUAAUGGUAAAAGGAGUUAUUUUGUAAUUUGGUGUUAGGUGGACACUUACAGCAUCCUCAUUCAUAGAUGUAGAGUGAGUGACGUGUUAUGAGGACAUGGUUUAUACAAUACAACUGUGAUAUUUUGUUUCAAUGUCAAGAGUAGUUUACUCUAUUGUGAAUUUACUGAACUUAUGUGAUAAAUGUCGCAGUCAUAUCUUUCUCUCGGAACUUGCGGAGUCUUGUUACUCCAUUAAUGAAGAUGACGUUCCAUUUGUAAUGAGAAAGUUGUGGAGUCCUUUAUUUGCAUCAUGACACGCACUUAUAGAUAACAUGUCAAUAACUACACUGACAAGGCUUGCCUAACCGUGUGUACUGAGAACAUACUUCUUAUGUGGAUUGUUAGGUGCCAAAGAUGUAUUUAAUCAGUGGGAGUUACUGUUUUCAUAUAUGAUAGACAUGUUAAGGAUUGUUAUUUAUUGUUGAAUACAUGCAUAUUGUGGAUCACUCUUUGGCAUUAUGAGUGCACACUCGUUUGGUAAUGAUAUAAUGAUGCGAGCCAAUGGCUUAGUCUAGAUAUCAUGUUUGAGUGGAUCCAUAUUGGGAGUUAUCGCCAUGCUUUAUGAAUCUCCAAUGUCUCGUUAUGUAUCAUAUUUGUAUCCUAUCGAUGUGAUAUGAUGCAUAAUUUGUUUUAUAGACAUUUGUGGUUCUUGAGAUUCUUGUGUAUAGACAUUAUUGUUCAAUGAGCACUUGUUGGUUUAAUUAUGUAGUCCAAGUGGGAGAAUGUUAGAAUAUUUUAUAUGGACUGACAUAAUUAUACGUUGCUCACGUAGUGUCGUGAUUAGCAUGUAAGGAUAACUAUAUAAUCGGUAUUGCAUGCUAUUACCAUCGAGCCAUAAUGGGAUGGACAUAAUGUACUAACACGCUCGGGGCCCAUGGACACGCUCUCAAUGUCUUUAGGCCAGCCCAUUGGGCCAAGGCAACUAAUCCUCUCAUUGGGUAUCUAGGCCCAAUAAGCCCAUUAUAGUUUAUAAAAGGGGUUACACCCUUUUAUAAAGUGUGUGUGGACAAUGGGUGUUUAGAGGAAAAGGAGAGAAAGAGAGUAGUGUUCAUCUACACCCCAAGCACGCCUUUGAUCUUUGAUGUGUAGGUGGGUGAAAUGUGAUGAGCAUAAUCAUGAAGAAUGAUGGUUCAUAGACUUGAUCACAAAGGUAAAGGCAAGGGAAAGCUCGAUCAGAGCUGAUUUGGAGAGCUCUGAGAGCAGAAUGUACAUGAUCAGCUGUUCAACCGCCACGGUUGAGAGGGAGACAGGAACAGGAGAACCAUAAAUAUUGUUUUGCCCUUAGAGUGGCUAAUGGUUGUUUGAACUCUGGAAAUUUUGUAAACAGACUUUUGAACGCUGUUCCUUUUUGGGAUCCCAUGUGUAAAAAUGUGGUGUAAGGCGUCCUGAGUUUAUCCCGAACUAAGGAUGCAAUGGCUGUGAAGCGCGAGCUCAUAAUUUUAAACAGCUGUCGAAGCACGAGCUUGGUGAUGAUAUCUAGCUCGUGGUAAUUCUAAUAUACUGCAUACCCUCGGAUCCCUAGAGACUCGGGAUCCCUUUAUACGUUUAUUUA
This is a long non-coding RNA of Humulus lupulus (European hop), 3502 nucleotides long. RefSeq lists it as uncharacterized. The transcript has 2 exons. NCBI's taxonomy places the organism in Eukaryota, Viridiplantae, Streptophyta, Magnoliopsida, Rosales, Cannabaceae. The record is from RefSeq and is a predicted model, not a curated record.